AGCAGCCGCGGUAAUUCCAGCUCCAAUAGCGUAUAUUAAAGUUGUUGCAGUUAAAAAGCUCGUAGUUGAAUUUCGGGAUCGACGGGUCGGUCGCGCCUCUGGUGUGUACUGGCCCUGUCGGUUUCUCCCUUCUGACGAACCACGAUGUCAUUAAUUUGGUGUCGUGGGAAAUCAGGACUGUUACUUUGAAAAAUUAGAGUGUUUAAAGCAGGCAUUCGCUUGAAUACAUUAGCAUGGAAUAAUGAAAUAGGACGUUUGAUCUUAUUUUGUUGGUUUCUAAGAUCGACGUAAUGAUUAAUAGGGAUAGUUGGGGGCAUUAGUAUUCAAUUGUCAGAGGUGAAAUUCUUGGAUUUAUUGAAGACUAACUACUGCGAAAGCAUUUGCCAAGGAUGUUUUCAUUAAUCAAGAACGAAAGUUAGGGGAUCGAAGACGAUCAGAUACCGUCGUAGUCUUAACCAUAAACUAUGCCGACUAGGGAUCGGAUGAUGUUAAUUUUUUAAUGACUCAUUCGGCGCCUUAA
Molecule: ribosomal RNA, 520 nt
Filed under: uncultured Glomus
Lineage: Eukaryota; Fungi; Glomeromycota; Glomeromycetes; Glomerales; Glomeraceae
Description: SSU rRNA
Rfam family: Eukaryotic small subunit ribosomal RNA
Source: RNAcentral